UAUGUGAUCGUCUCUCGCAUAUCAAUAAGCGGAGGAAAAGAAACUAACAAGGAUUCCCCUAGUAACGGCGAGUGAAGCGGGAAGAGCUCAAAUUUGAAAUCUUAAAGGGUUUCCCUUUACGAAUUGUAGUUUAAAGAAGUGUUUUCUGUUGAGGUUUUGGUAAAAGUUCUUUGGAAUAGGACAUCAUAGAGGGUGAGAAUCCCGUAUUUGACCUUUACUUUCAACUUUGUGAUACACCUUCAAAGAGUCGGAUUGUUUGGGAAUGCAGUCCAAAAUGGGUGGUAAAUUUCAUCUAAAGCUAAAUAUUGGCGAGAGACCGAUAGCGAACAAGUACCGUGAGGGAAAGAUGAAAAGAACUUUGAAAAGAGAGUUAAACAGUACGUGAAAUUGUCAAAAGGGAAGCGUUUGACACCAGUGUUGUUUUUCUGAAAAUCAAUUAAAGAACUGUUUAUGCUAAGUUGUUUAGACUUUAUCAGCUAUCUGCUUAGUUUUGAGCUUUUCUUUAAUGCACUUUUCAGUUAACAAGUCAACAUCAAUUUCUUUUGCUGUAAAAAAGCUUGAGGAAGGUGGCUUGAGAUUCGUCUUAAGUGUUUAUAGCCUCUUGCCUAUGCAGUCGGAGAGAUUGAGGUCUGCAGCGUAGAUCCUUCGGGGCUAAAUGCAUUUGUGCUAAGUUAUAGCAUUUCAUAGACAACUUGUUGACUAUGAUUUGUCCUGUAGCUUACUCGCUUAUGUUAUUUUACCUACGCUUAGGAUGUUGAUCUACAGAGCGAGAGU
RNAcentral lists this ribosomal RNA (774 nucleotides) under uncultured Neocallimastigales. Its description in RNAcentral is "partial large subunit ribosomal RNA". It matches the Rfam family "Eukaryotic large subunit ribosomal RNA", at positions 24 to 631 of the family's 3401-position model. The record is from RNAcentral. Lineage: Eukaryota; Fungi; Neocallimastigomycota; Neocallimastigomycetes; Neocallimastigales.